AAAUUAUUCAAGUUUGUAUUAAUGACUUGGUCACCCAUGGUCACUCAACAUAUUAUUACUUUCACCACAGUAACUGUUUUGCACAAAAAGUUGCAAAAAUUUAUAUUUGUUUCUAUAAGGUCAUUCAAGCUACAUUCUUGUUAAUGGUUGCUGGAAAUGUUGAUCUGACUUACCAACCUGUCAGAAAUGUCUAAUGACAUCACUUGAGAAUGAAGAGAGUGAGAUAGCGAAUUUGAGUUUUAAGGGAUCCACGUUUGCAUCUUAUAGUUGCGAUAAGCUAGUUUUUCUAGAUUUCCAUAUAAUAUUUUCAGUAAACUUAUCAGAAAGUGUCCUUGUGACCUUACAAAAUGAAAAGUAAAGUUCAGUAAAUUUUGCACUAUAAAUUGAAGUAAGUGAUGAGUGAAAUUUAACCCAAAAGGUUUAGAUUGAUAGAGAUGUUUGAAGAAAAAUAAUUGCCCCACCCCCACCUCUCUUUCUCUCGUCAUUUUCCUUGAACUCUUUAGAUAUAGACGGUGGACCAAUAUCUUCAAAACUAAAGGCAGGAAUGACAAUUAUUGAUCUAAUGAAUGAGUUUAUAUAACUUGUUAAAGUUUGAAAAGUCCUAUGAAAAUGUGCUGAAUUUGCUUCUCAUUUGUUGUUUUACUGGCAUAUCAGUGUAGGUGGUUUUGAAGGCAUUGCUAGAUUUAAAUGAUAUUAAUGGAAUCAUACUACUUUUAGCAAGGUUCUUUGUGGCUUCAGGUGAUCUUACGGUACUCUUAGCAAGGUUCUUUUUGCCUUUGGGGUGAUAGGUGCUGAUGGAAAUUACUCAACGUUCCUGUGGUUGUUUUGAAGUGUAUACAUAGAGAGUACAUGAAUACCUUGAAUUACUUGUCCAGUGAAGCUUUCUCCUCUAUUCCGCAAGAUUUAGUUCCUGACCUGCAGAGGAUGAUCUC
RNAcentral lists this unclassified non-coding RNA (932 nucleotides) under Hevea brasiliensis (rubber tree). The record is from RNAcentral. Lineage: Eukaryota; Viridiplantae; Streptophyta; Magnoliopsida; Malpighiales; Euphorbiaceae.